UACGUAGGGUGCGAGCGUUAAUCGGAAUUACUGGGCGUAAAGUGUGCGCAGGCGGCCAUGCAAGUCGAGUGUGAAAGCCCCGGGCUUAACUUGGGAAUUGCGCUCGAAACUACGUGGCUGGAGUGUGGCAGAGGAAGGUGGAAUUCCACGUGUAGCGGUGAAAUGCGUAGAGAUGUGGAGGAACACCAAUGGCGAAGGCAGCCUUCUGGGCCAACACUGACGCUCAUGCACGAAAGCGUGGGUAGCAAACAGG
This 253-nucleotide ribosomal RNA is filed under the name uncultured bacterium. RNAcentral describes it as "partial 16S ribosomal RNA". It matches the Rfam family "Bacterial small subunit ribosomal RNA", at positions 524 to 776 of the family's 1533-position model. The record is from RNAcentral.